GGCCGACUAGCUCAGUUGGUUAGAGCGUCGUGCUAAUAACGCGAAGGUCUUGGGUUCGAUCCUCACGUUGGCCA
Molecule: transfer RNA, 74 nt
Filed under: Coprinellus micaceus
Lineage: Eukaryota; Fungi; Basidiomycota; Agaricomycetes; Agaricales; Psathyrellaceae
Rfam family: tRNA
About the family: Transfer RNA (tRNA) molecules are approximately 80 nucleotides in length.
Source: Rfam by way of RNAcentral